Molecule: ribosomal RNA, 427 nt
Filed under: uncultured bacterium
Lineage: Bacteria
Description: partial 16S ribosomal RNA
Rfam family: Bacterial small subunit ribosomal RNA
Source: RNAcentral
UGGGGAAUAUUGGACAAUGGGGGCAACCCUGAUCCAGCCAUGCCGCGUGUGUGAAGAAGGCCUUUUGGUUGUAAAGCACUUUAAGUAGUGAAGAAGACUCCAUGGUUAAUACCCAUGGACGAUGACAUUAGCUGCAGAAUAAGCACCGGCUAACUCUGUGCCAGCAGCCGCGGUAAUACAGAGGGUGCAAGCGUUAAUCGGAAUUACUGGGCGUAAAGCGAGCGUAGGUGGCUUGAUAAGUCAGAUGUGAAAGCCCCGGGCUUAACCUGGGAACGGCAUCUGAUACUGUUAGGCUAGAGUAGGUGAGAGGAAGGUAGAAUUCCAGGUGUAGCGGUGAAAUGCGUAGAGAUCUGGAGGAAUACCGAUGGCGAAGGCAGCCUUCUGGCAUCAUACUGACACUGAGGUUCGAAAGCGUGGGUAGCAAACA